GGCAGCAUGGCUUAGUGGAGAGAGCACGGUCCUAGGAGCCGGGAUGACCUGGGUUCUAAUCCCAGCUUUGCCA
Molecule: transfer RNA, 73 nt
Filed under: Ornithorhynchus anatinus (platypus)
Lineage: Eukaryota; Metazoa; Chordata; Mammalia; Monotremata; Ornithorhynchidae
Rfam family: tRNA
About the family: Transfer RNA (tRNA) molecules are approximately 80 nucleotides in length. Their secondary structure includes four short double-helical elements and three loops (D, anti-codon, and T loops). Further hydrogen bonds mediate the characteristic L-shaped molecular structure. tRNAs have two regions of fundamental functional importance: the anti-codon, which is responsible for specific mRNA codon recognition, and the 3' end, to which the tRNAs corresponding amino acid is attached (by aminoacyl-tRNA synthetases). tRNAs cope with the degeneracy of the genetic code in two manners: having more than one tRNA (with a specific anti-codon) for a particular amino acid; and 'wobble' base-pairing, i.e. permitting non-standard base-pairing at the 3rd anti-codon position.
Source: Rfam by way of RNAcentral